GUGCAUAUGCACAGAAAGUUCUAGAAGAACCCAGGAGGCAGUGUGAGCCUGAGAAGCAAAACCACAAAGAGAACAGAGGGAAACUCACGGACAAUGGUGGGAGAAGCAGAGCCAGUGUGCACAGAGCAGUAAAGGGCAGAACCAGGAGCCGACAAGAGUCUCGAAGCCUCAGGCGGGGCGCCAGGGAGGUCUGCAGCUGACAGUGAGGGGAUCAGUGCCACCCAGGUCCUCUAUGGGAUUCCUGAAUUGUUGUGGAGACUGGAGCAGCUGGGAUCCCUCGCUCUCAUGUUUUCAGUUCUCUGUGGGGCUUGAAGGUGUGGCUGCCGUGUGGAAAUGGACUCAGGUCAUUGACUAACAACAUCAACAAUGAAAUGAAUCUGAGAAAACAGGAAAUUGAGAGCAAGAGAAAAAAAAGUUAAUUAUACUGAUUUUGUAUAAGACCCCUUUGAACACAUUUUUAAAAAAUCAAAUAGAAGGUGCCCAGGUCCACUGUGCCUUGUGAAUAUUUGUCUUGUAUAUCCUAGAGAUCUACGCAUUCAUGUGGGAAUUGAAAAGGACCCACAUUUUACUAGAAGCAUCGUUCAUUUUUGCCUCAAAACAAUGCCCACAUGUCAGAAGAACUUUCACAAUUCACAGGAACAGUGACCUAAUUAACCAACCAUAAAAUUGCCAAAUCCCUACUUCUCAUUGUUUAAUAUGCUUAGAAAACCCAUUCAAAUUGUGAAUUAUCAAGUGAGCUUACACUGAUAAAUAGAUCCAAUAUUUAGGAAUUUUUAAAUCUUCCAUUCCUUUUUUUUUUUUGUCUUUUUAAAAAUAGAACAUUAGAAUAUGUCCUCCAGGUUUUAGAGAUGGGGGAGACAUGCUUCCCUUUAUUUCUCAGUAACUCAGCCAAAAAAAAUCUGGAGAGAAUGCAAAGACAGCUACUGGAAACUUUGAAAAGUAGAUGUGAGCCCAUCAGGGAAGAGCUAGAGAAUCUGAAAUCUACUCGAAAAAGUGAGUUUGAUACUUUGUGUUCCUAUCCUAACUCCACACAGCCUGAAACUUGGAAGUGAGCAUGAUGGAGUGGAUACAGUGAGAUGCAGAAGAAAUCCUCCAGUUUGGGCUGGAAGGGAAAAAAGAGACCCCUAAAACUCAGAGACAGUGGAAGAAAUUCCUGGUGUUUUUUUCUUCUCUUUUUCUCUGUUCUUCCACAUAGCAAUUUAGUAUUGACUACAGCAUCUCUGUUACAAUGAUAGCACCGAAAUGUUGUAACCAUAUGGCCUGCAAAGCCAAAAAUACUUAUCUGACCAUCUACAGGAAAAGUUUGCUGAUCUGGAUGAAAUAUUCUGAUACUAAAUAUUCCAUUUUGUGAGUAUACCACAACUUAACUUAAAAAUCUACCUCUAGUUGGCUAUUUAGGCUUUUUGUUUGUCUGUUUUCUGGCAUUAUAAAUUGUGCUGCUAUAAGCUGGUUUGUGUGUGUCUCUGGAUGGAUAUGAACAGUUUCCUAAGAUUGUGUACCCUGAAAAAUGCCAAGUCAUAGGGUAUGGCUGUAUUGCAGCUUUUCCAAUUUUUAAUUUAUCUUUUCACAUUUUCUACAGUAACUUUUGAUAAAUAAAAGUUCCCUCCAUACUCAAGUGAGCACAUUCCUGUAACAGAUCUCCUGUCGGUUCUCUUUCUCAGGAGAACCCUGACUAAUAUCUAUUUAUAUUCUCAUUUUUCACCAAAAAUAAACAAGGCUUUGGUGUUCUGAAUGGAAUUGUUUUGAAUUUUAGAUUAAUUUUGGGAAAAUGGCAUCAUUAAAUAUUGAUUGUUCUCAUUCAUAAAUAUGUGAUAUGUCUCCAAUUAUAGCUCUUCUUUUAUGCCUUUAACAAGUUUCUUUUUAUAAUUCAGUGAAUAUGGAGCCUGCAUAGCUUUUGGAAGGUUUUGUAGUUUUACUCUGUCUACUAAAAAGCAUAAAAAAAUUUGUAAGCCUCAAUGCAAUUAGAAAUUAAGAAUUAAGCUACUAAUGGUGCAACUCUGUAAGCACAAGGCAUAAAAAACAAGUGUUAUGGCCGAGCCACACAGUGAAAGAGGUAUGAAUCACUGCAAACACUGGUUGAAGGGAAGCUGUCCUCCAAACAGAAGCAUCCAUUUUUGUACUUUUUAAAAAUUUUUAUUUAUUUAUUUUUUGAGAUGGAGUCUUGCUCCAUUGCCCAGGCUGGAGUGCAGUGGCGCGAUCUCGGCUCACUGCAACCUCCGCCUCCCAGGUUCAUGCCAUUCUCCUGCUUCAGCCUCCCGAGUAGCUGAGACUACAGGUGCCCGCCACCAAGCCCAGCUAAUUUUUUGUAUUUUUAGUAGAGACAGGGUUUCACCGUGUUAGCCAGGAUGGUCUCGAUCUCUGGACCUCGUGAUCCACCUGCCUCAGCCUCCCAAAGUGCUGGGAUUACAGGCAUGAGCCACCGUGCCCUGGCCCCAUUUUUGUACUUUUAAGGGAGUGAGAAAUAAACUACUUUUGCUUUUAAGCCGUUAUAAAAUUUGGCAUGAAUUUGCCAAGCAACUCAACAUUAAUCUACUGUCCUUGAAUUAAUUAUAAAAGUUGCAGACAGUCUUGAACAUUUAACAACACAGACACAAUUAUUCGUGAGGAAUUAAAAUUGGGAAAAGUUCUAAUACUUUUUUUUUUGUAGAACAUUUUUACCAAUUUAAAAAAGUGAUCAUUAUAGAUUAACUUGAAAUCACAAUGCAGAAUUGUGUUAUGCCAUAGAUCACUCAAUAAUUUGUUGUCACAUAUAUGCUUCUCUGCCAAUCCUAGUAGACUUCACACCUUGUGCUAUAUUAUUAGUCUUCCUUUUAUGAGGCAGACAGUACCCAUUUCAUAAAAUAUGAAGACUAUAGCUUCGGGCCAGAGGAUUUGAAUUUUCAUACUAGAGGUUAUAAUAUGUGAUAUCAUGAGCUUGUUUUUAUUGUCCUAGGAGGCUGAUAUUCCUAAUCUAUUCAUAAGGAUGGCAUAUCUACCCAGUGGGCCUGCUGGGACUCCAGUUACCCGAUGCACAUACAUUGCUUGGUGUGGCAGUUUCGUGUGCAUUUUUGGUGAUGAUGCUCCACGGAACAUCUGCAGAUGUGCUGUCAAUUUGGACAGCUCUGACUACCGAGUGAAUGGGAAGUACUAACGAGAACUGUCUGCUUGGGAACUCCAUGAAGUUCGUGGCUUUUGUGAUUGAAAUAGCAUCAAUAAAAGGUUGACACUGUGGAACAACACAAGCCUGCAUGGACCUGGUUAUCUCUGACCUCGCACCACUCAUGAGACCAUACCUGAGCCCUACUCCACUUUGGCAGAACUGUUGCAUGGCCUCUCUUCAUAUAAUACCUCUCCGUACACCGUACACCGCAGCUCAAAGAAAGGAUAUAUGCUCCCUGUGAAGACUAAUGGAACUGUCCCUCCUGAUCCUCCUACAGACUUCCUCUGGCCUAAUGGGUGCACCAUUGCAUUAUAUCUGCCAUCUAUACACACAUAUACCUUUCAACCCUGCACUCUCUGAGAUGACUGGACUCAUGCCUAAAUAACUGAUGCUGUCCCUAGUGUAAGGAAGCUGCCUGACGAGGAGCUGUACGGAAAUAAGAGUAAUUCAGUGAUGGGGUCCAAGCAUCCUGAAUAUAAGCGGUCCAUGUCAAGAAAGAGCCAAAGGGCGUCCUCAGGACAUGGAAGAGGGGCAUUCCAGGCUGGCAGCUGGGGAGGCCCAGAGAGCCCUGGAGAAGAUCUGAAGUCCAUUGCAGAGCUUUCUUUAAGACUACUGAAUUGUACAGAAGAAGCAGAAAUGAAAAAAAAAUUAAAAAUAUAGAAAUGAUGUAUUUUAAUGAGAUUUAAACAUCUAGGGGAGAGUUUGGGGUGGGAAUGCUGAUAAGUUCAUAGAAAAGUAAGCAAAUGAAAACAAGACAAAAAUAAUAAAAGCAAAAAGGAAAAGUAAUUGCACUGUGCUAGUAGAUUCAGCUCUGAAUAAUAUUUCAUAAUAGUAAUAUGUAAACAGUAAAUACUGAUUUAAACUAAAAUGUUAUAAUUAUACUGAGAGUAUUGAAGAUGAGGAAAUACUGUGUGUGUGUGUGUGUGUGUGUGUGUGUGUGUGUGUGUGUGUGUGUGUGGUGUAUUGAAAGCAACAGGAACAAGAGAUAAAAUCUCUUCUCAUAAUGUCAAAAACUGAAAAAAUGAAGAAGUGGCAAUAUGAUUAUCUAUCUAGAAAUAUAAAAAUAGAAACCAAAACAAACACUUCAAAAUGUCAAAGGCUCUGUUGAAGAGGAUUUGGGAAGGUGUUGGAGAGUAC
RNAcentral lists this long non-coding RNA (4276 nucleotides) under Homo sapiens (human). RNAcentral's name for it is "HSALNT0380280". Lineage: Eukaryota; Metazoa; Chordata; Mammalia; Primates; Hominidae. The record is from RNAcentral.